RNAcentral lists this ribosomal RNA (496 nucleotides) under uncultured bacterium. RNAcentral's name for it is "partial 16S ribosomal RNA". It matches the Rfam family "Bacterial small subunit ribosomal RNA", at positions 28 to 507 of the family's 1533-position model. The record is from RNAcentral.
GAUGAACGCUGGCGGCGUGCCUAAUACAUGCAAGUCGAGCGAACAGACGAGGAGCUUGCUCCUCUGACGUUAGCGGCGGACGGGUGAGUAACACGUGGAUAACCUACCUAUAAGACUGGGAUAACUUCGGGAAACCGGAGCUAAUACCGGAUAAUAUAUUGAACCGCAUGGUUCAAUAGUGAAAGACGGUUUUGCUGUCACUUAUAGAUGGAUCCGCGCCGCAUUAGCUAGUUGGUAAGGUAACGGCUUACCAAGGCGACGAUGCGUAGCCGACCUGAGAGGGUGAUCGGCCACACUGGAACUGAGACACGGUCCAGACUCCUACGGGAGGCAGCAGUAGGGAAUCUUCCGCAAUGGGCGAAAGCCUGACGGAGCAACGCCGCGUGAGUGAUGAAGGUCUUCGGAUCGUAAAACUCUGUUAUUAGGGAAGAACAAAUGUGUAAGUAACUAUGCACGUCUUGACGGUACCUAAUCAGAAAGCCACGGCUACUACGUG